Long non-coding RNA from Mauremys mutica (yellowpond turtle), 473 nucleotides. RefSeq lists it as uncharacterized. The record is from RefSeq and is a predicted model, not a curated record. Lineage: Eukaryota; Metazoa; Chordata; Testudines; Geoemydidae. The transcript has 3 exons.
CUUGCCAAGAGCCAUUGAUGGGAAGUACAAGGCCCAGCCAGGCUCCACAGACUGAAGAAAAGAAGCUAGAUCCCCACACCAGAGCAGCAAGGAAGGACAGUAGCUUGUCAGAACCCUCUGCCACCCAUAAGGGCCUUUGGUACCAUCUAGUAGAACCCAUUGUGAAGCCACAAAGAGAUGAGACCAACAUGGCAACAGCUUGCCAAGCCAAACCCUGAUAUCUAUGCUAUCCAACAGGAAGUGCUUCCUUUGUGAGCAGAUGGGCCCCUUCUGUAGAGACAACCUCCAUAUGGAAUUCAACUUCGGGCAAGAAUUAUGGACGCACUGUCAGAUGAUGUAUCAGAUUGUUGCCCCUUUUGGACCAGCGAUUCUGUCUCUGUGAUGAGAAACCCCCUUAGGUUCACUUUCACCUUGUGAUCCCUCAAAGGACAAGGAAAGACAAAGGAAAGGAACAUGGGAGAGUGAUUUGAUAA